ACCUUUUGGUUCCUGAGCGAGAUGGUUGGGGUUCAGGCCACUGUGUGAGAUGUGCCCCCUCGAACGUCAUCACAGCAUCAGCACAUUACCUGUUGGUGG
Small nucleolar RNA from Heterocephalus glaber (naked mole-rat), 99 nucleotides. The record is from Ensembl. Lineage: Eukaryota; Metazoa; Chordata; Mammalia; Rodentia; Bathyergidae.